UACGGAGGGUGCAAGCGUUGUUCGGAUUUACUGGGCGUAAAGCGCGAGCAGGUGGGCGGGCAAGUCCUGUGUGCAAUCUUCCGGCUCAACCGGAAAACUGCAUGGGAAACUACCCGUCUUGAGUGCGAGAGAGGAUGGCGGAAUUCCUGGUGUAGCGGUGAAAUGCGUAGAUAUCAGGAGGAACACCGGUGGCGAAGGCGGCCAUCUGGCUCGACACUGACGCUCAUUCGCGAAGGUCGGGGGAGCAAACAGG
This 253-nucleotide ribosomal RNA is filed under the name uncultured bacterium. RNAcentral describes it as "partial 16S ribosomal RNA". It matches the Rfam family "Bacterial small subunit ribosomal RNA", at positions 524 to 776 of the family's 1533-position model. The record is from RNAcentral.